CAACAACAACGGGUUAGUCACGCGAACGACUAGCCCAUUCGAUUAUUAUUCGAGCAAAUCGCACAAGGAUAAAUUAUAAUAGUCCUCAUGUAUAGGUAACAGAAGAGGAAAGAUCAAGAGGAUGAAUAAGAAAGAUUCAGAGGUGGAGGAAGAAAUCGGGGUUGCUGCGAUAGCGAAGGUGGAGAGGAUGAGGCUAUUCGGAAGACUGAAGAGGCCGAAGCUAUGAAGAACGGAGCACGAUCUUUCCUUGUCAUCGUGACCGUCUCUGGCCGAUUUUUAAACAAGGAGGCGAAUUCAAACGGCAUUGUGUCGUCACGUGCAGCCACUCGCUCUCUCUCAACAGAAUGUUGUUAGAACCUCUUUCCUCUGUAUAACCGCAAAACUUUCAUAUAUUGUCUCUUCUCCUCGUUUUCUUAUUUUACUUCUUUAUUUUAUUCUUUUUCAUAUCCGUUGUUUUUGAUUUCUUACGAUUAAUAAUACAAAUAAUUUAUAUUUUUUUCAUUAACAUAUAUACAUAUUAUAAUUUAUAAGCAUUUAUAAGCAUUUUUGCUAAGUUUUUCUGUAUGCAAAAAAUGCAAAUCGAUUCCUAUUUCCUUUUUUGAAAAA
Apis dorsata (giant honeybee) is the source of this 606-nucleotide long non-coding RNA. RefSeq lists it as uncharacterized. NCBI's taxonomy places the organism in Eukaryota, Metazoa, Arthropoda, Insecta, Hymenoptera, Apidae. The transcript has 2 exons. The record is from RefSeq and is a predicted model, not a curated record.